Molecule: ribosomal RNA, 516 nt
Filed under: Enterobacter hormaechei
Lineage: Bacteria; Pseudomonadati; Pseudomonadota; Gammaproteobacteria; Enterobacterales; Enterobacteriaceae
Also listed under: 1 other name
Description: partial 23S ribosomal RNA
Rfam family: Bacterial large subunit ribosomal RNA
Source: RNAcentral
CUGUAAGCCGUUGAAGGUGUGCUGUGAGGCAUGCUGGAGGUAUCAGAAGUGCGAAUGCUGACAUAAGUAACGAUAAAGCGGGUGAAAAGCCCGCUCGCCGGAAGACCAAGGGUUCCUGUCCAACGUUAAUCGGGGCAGGGUGAGUCGACCCCUAAGGCGAGGCCGAAAGGCGUAGUCGAUGGGAAACAGGUUAAUAUUCCUGUACUUGGUGUUACUGCGAAGGGGGGACGGAGAAGGCUAUGUCAGCCGGGCGACGGUUGUCCCGGUUUAAGCAUGUAGGCGGAGGUUCCAGGUAAAUCCGGUACCUUUUAACGCUGAGGUGUGAUGACGAGGCACUACGGUGCUGAAGUGAUAAAUGCCCUGCUUCCAGGAAAAGCCUCUAAGCAUCAGGUAACACGAAAUCGUACCCCAAACCGACACAGGUGGUCAGGUAGAGAAUACCAAGGCGCUUGAGAGAACUCGGGUGAAGGAACUAGGCAAAAUGGUGCCGUAACUUCGGGAGAAGGCACGCUGAUG